CUAGGGGCCCCAGUAGCAGCCGUGGGCUCCGCGGGGGUGGUCGGGGAGUAGUACCCAGGGCCCUUGGCGCCUUACUGCACCGAGCCCAGCCCAGCGCCCCGCGGGGUCCCUGCCGGGCCCGGCCAGGAGGGGGCGCCACUCACCCAGGUGCGCCACGCGGCUGAGGCGCGGGUCAAAGCCGACCUCGCGCACCUUGUCAGUGCGCGCCAGGAAGAAGUUGACCACGCCGUCGGUGACCACGCACCCUGGGAAGCCGACGAGCUCGUGGUGGAAGCCGCGCUUCUGCCGGAGGCAGUUCCCGCGGCCUGGCGCGCCGGGCUCCACGCUCAGCAGCUGCCGGUCCAGCGGCGUCCGCUCCAGCACGUCCACAAGCCUCUCCAGUCGUGUCCGCGCCGUGAAGACGAAGUCGUCGUCCACCCACAGCACGUACUUGGUGGUUACUUGGGAUACGGCCAGGUUCCGGCCUGCGAACCAGCCCUGGGGAAGGGGCUGGAUCUAUGUCCCUGAGCACACCAGUCUCACCUCCCAGGGAUGGAGACCCAG
This is a long non-coding RNA of Balaenoptera ricei (Rice's whale), 543 nucleotides long. RefSeq lists it as uncharacterized. The record is from RefSeq and is a predicted model, not a curated record. Lineage: Eukaryota; Metazoa; Chordata; Mammalia; Artiodactyla; Balaenopteridae. The transcript has 3 exons.